Molecule: ribosomal RNA, 818 nt
Filed under: Cytophaga sp.
Lineage: Bacteria; Pseudomonadati; Bacteroidota; Cytophagia; Cytophagales; Cytophagaceae
Description: bacterial SSU rRNA
Rfam family: Bacterial small subunit ribosomal RNA
Source: RNAcentral
CGGGAUGAAUGAGAGUGGCGCACGGGUGCGUAACGCGUAUGCAACCUACCUGUUACAGGGAGAUAGCCCGGGGAAACCCGGAUUAAUAUCCCAUAGGAUAUAUUAACUGCAUGGUUUAUAUAUUAAAGCCUUCGGGUGGUAACAGACGGGCAUGCGUAGGAUUAGCUAGUUGGAGAGGUAACGGCUCACCAAGGCGACGAUCCUUAGGGGUUCUGAGAGGAAGGUCCCCCACACUGGCACUGAGAUACGGGCCAGACUCCUACGGGAGGCAGCAGUAGGGAAUAUUGGUCAAUGGGCGAGAGCCUGAACCAGCCAUGCCGCGUGCAGGAAGACGGCGUUCUGCGUUGUAAACUGCUUUUAUCUGGGAAGAAAAAGCCCUUGCGAGGGAAAUUGCCGGUACCAGAAGAAUAAGCACCGGCUAACUCCGUGCCAGCAGCCGCGGUAAUACGGAGGGUGCAAGCGUUGUCCGGAUUUAUUGGGUUUAAAGGGUGCGUAGGCGGCUGAUUAAGUCAGCGGUGAAAGUUCUCGGCUCAACCGAGAGACUGCCGUUGAUACUGGUCAGCUUGAGUUAUGGAGGGGUACAUGGAAUUUAUGGUGUAGCGGUGAAAUGCAUAGAUACCAUAAGGAACACCGAUAGCGAACGCAUUGUACUGGCCAUAAACUGACGCUGAGGCACGAAAGCGUGGGUAGCGAACAGGAUUAGAUACCCUGGUAGUCCACGCCGUAAACGAUGAUCACUCGCUUUACAUUACGUAGUAUUUUGAGGCCAAGCGAAAGCGUUAAGUGAUCCACCUGGGGAGUACGCCGGCAACGGUGAA